RNAcentral lists this ribosomal RNA (268 nucleotides) under uncultured prokaryote. Its description in RNAcentral is "partial 16S ribosomal RNA". It matches the Rfam family "Bacterial small subunit ribosomal RNA", at positions 524 to 792 of the family's 1533-position model. The record is from RNAcentral.
CACGUAGGGGCGAGCGUUGUCCGGAAUUACUGGGCGUAAAGGGCGCGCAGGCGGUUAUGUUAGUCUGCUGUGAAAAGCAUCGGCUUAACCGGUGUCUUGCGGCGGAUACUGCAUAGCUUGAGUACUGGAGAGGGAAGUGGAAUUCCUAGUGUAGCGGUGAAAUGCGUAGAUAUUAGGAGGAACACCAGUGGCGAAGGCGACUUACUGGACUGUAACUGACGCUGAGUCACGAAAGCGUGGGUAGCAAACAGGAUUAGAUACCCCUGUA